This 487-nucleotide ribosomal RNA is filed under the name uncultured bacterium. RNAcentral's name for it is "bacterial SSU rRNA". It matches the Rfam family "Bacterial small subunit ribosomal RNA", at positions 8 to 526 of the family's 1533-position model. The record is from RNAcentral.
AGGGUUUGAUCAUGGCUCAGAACGAACGCUGGCGGCAGGCCUAACACAUGCAAGUCGAGCGAAGCCUUCGGGUUUAGCGGCGGACGGGUGAGUAACGCGUGGGAAUAUGCCCUUUGGUACGGAACAGUCCCGGGAAACUGGGUUUAAUACCGUAUGUGGUCCUUCGUAGUGGAUACGGGGGACGAAAGAUUUAUCGCCAAAGGAUUAGCCCGCGUUGGAUUAGGUAGUUGGUGGGGUAAUGGCCUACCAAGCCGACGAUCCAUAGCUGGUUUGAGAGGAUGAUCAGCCACACUGGGACUGAGACACGGCCCAGACUCCUACGGGAGGCAGCAGUGGGGAAUCUUAGACAAUGGGGGCAACCCUGAUCUAGCCAUGCCGCGUGAGUGAUGAAGGCCUUAGGGUUGUAAAGCUCUUUCAGCUGGGAAGAUAAUGACGGUACCAGCAGAAGAAGCCCCGGCUAACUCCGUGCCAGCAGCCGCGGUAAUAC